This 428-nucleotide ribosomal RNA is filed under the name uncultured eukaryote. RNAcentral's name for it is "bacterial SSU rRNA". It matches the Rfam family "Eukaryotic small subunit ribosomal RNA", at positions 512 to 937 of the family's 1831-position model. The record is from RNAcentral.
GAAUGAGUACGAUUCGAACCACCUAACGAGGAACGAUCGGAGGGCAAGUCUGGUGCCAGCAGCCGCGGUAAUUCCAGCUCCAAUAGCGUACGUUAAAGUUGCUGCAGUUAAAAAAGCUCGUAGUUGAACGUCCGGGUUCCGCGGGACGGGGCCGCCCCGCGAGGGACGGCGCCGCCCUGGGGCCCGUGGGAUCCGAUCUCGCCGCCCGUCGCGAGGCGGACGGAGGGACGGAUGAGGUUACCUGGAAAAAUCGGGGCGAUCUAGGCGGGCGAACCUCGCCAACGAACGAUAGGACAUGGGAUAACGGAAGAGGGCAUCGGCUCGACUUCGUCGGUUCCUCGAGCUGAGGCACGUACGGUGAAUAGGGACGGUCGGGGCCGCCCGUACCGGGUCGCGGAGAGGUGAAAUUCUAGGAUCGACCCGAGACG